GACGAACGCUGGCGGCGUGCUUAACACAUGCAAGUCGAACGAUGAAGCCGGAGCUUGCUCUGGUGAAUUAGUGGCGAACGGGUGAGUAACACGUGAGUAACCUGCCCUUGACUCUGGGAUAACUGCGGGAAACUGUAGCUAAUACCGGAUACGACCCUCGGAGGCAUCUCCUGGGGGUGGAAAGAAUUUCGGUCAAGGAUGGACUCGCGGCCUAUCAGCUAGUUGGUGAGGUAAAGGCUCACCAAGGCGACGACGGGUAGCCGGCCUGAGAGGGUGACCGGCCACACUGGGACUGAGACACGGCCCAGACUCCUACGGGAGGCAGCAGCUAAGAAUAUUGGACAAUGGGGGAAACCCUGAUCCAGCCACGCCGCGUGAAUGAAGAAGGCCUUCGGGUUGUAAAGUUCUUUUAGUCGUGACGAUGAUGACGGUAGCGACAGAAAAAGCACCGGCUAACUUCGUGCCAGCAGCCGCCGCGG
This 479-nucleotide ribosomal RNA is filed under the name uncultured bacterium. RNAcentral's name for it is "partial 16S ribosomal RNA". It matches the Rfam family "Bacterial small subunit ribosomal RNA", at positions 28 to 523 of the family's 1533-position model. The record is from RNAcentral.